CUUCAAGGGGAUUCCCUCUGCUCCACUUGCUCAGGGAAUCCUCACAGGCAUUACUCACUAGGAUGCAUAAACACAGAAUGCUGUGUGUUUUCAUCUUGACCACAGGAGUUUGUCACCAUGGAGAUCCUCCUGUUUCCUUCAAGAGUGAUUCAAAUCUUACAGAUGGAGCAUAUGUGACAGCAAAAAACCAAAAUCACCAAGAAUUCACAUUAAACAUUUCAGAAAGAGGAUUUGAACACUAACAAACAUCCACAGACUAUUCAUGCAUAAAAAAUUGUGCUUCAAAUUCUUUUCUUUCUAAUGUUAA
This 307-nucleotide long non-coding RNA is filed under the name Taeniopygia guttata (zebra finch). RNAcentral's name for it is "lncRNA (ENSTGUG00000021861.1)". The record is from RNAcentral. Lineage: Eukaryota; Metazoa; Chordata; Aves; Passeriformes; Estrildidae.